RNAcentral lists this ribosomal RNA (301 nucleotides) under uncultured bacterium. RNAcentral's name for it is "partial 16S ribosomal RNA". It matches the Rfam family "Bacterial small subunit ribosomal RNA", at positions 509 to 807 of the family's 1533-position model. The record is from RNAcentral.
CAGCCGCCACGGUAAUACGUAGGUGGCAAGCGUUGUCCGGAAUUAUUGGGCGUAAAGGGCUCGCAGGCGGUUUCUUAAGUCUGAUGUGAAAGCCCCCGGCUCAACCGGGGAGGGUCAUUGGAAACUGGGAAACUUGAGUGCAGAAGAGGAGAGUGGAAUUCCACGUGUAGCGGUGAAAUGCGUUGAGAUGUGGAGGAACACCAGUGGCGAAGGCGACUCUCUGGUCUGUAACUGACGCUGAGGAGCGAAAGCGUGGGGAGCGAACAGGAUUAGAGACCCCUGUAGUCCCUGUCUCUUAUAC